GGGGAAUAUUGCACAAUGGGCGCAAGCCUGAUGCAGCCAUGCCGCGUGUGUGAAGAAGGCCUUCGGGUUGUAAAGCACUUUCAGCGAGGAGGAAGGGUAGUGUGUUAAUAGCACAUUGCAUUGACGUUACUCGCAGAAGAAGCACCGGCUAACUCCGUGCCAGCAGCCGCGGUAAUACGGAGGGUGCAAGCGUUAAUCGGAAUUACUGGGCGUAAAGCGCACGCAGGCGGUUUGUUAAGUCAGAUGUGAAAUCCCCGCGCUUAACGUGGGAACUGCAUUUGAAACUGGCAAGCUAGAGUCUUGUAGAGGGGGGUAGAAUUCCAGGUGUAGCGGUGAAAUGCGUAGAGAUCUGGAGGAAUACCGGUGGCGAAGGCGGCCCCCUGGACAAAGACUGACGCUCAGGUGCGAAAGCGUGGGGAGCAAAACAGGAUUAGAUACCCUGGUAGUCCACGC
This 453-nucleotide ribosomal RNA is filed under the name uncultured bacterium. RNAcentral describes it as "partial 16S ribosomal RNA". It matches the Rfam family "Bacterial small subunit ribosomal RNA", at positions 356 to 800 of the family's 1533-position model. The record is from RNAcentral.